CGGCGGACGGGUGAGUAACACGUAGGAAUCUACCUUGUGGAGGGGGAUAGCCCGGAGAAAUUCGGAUUAAUACCGCAUAAAGCCCAUGGGCUAAAGGAUGGGAUCUUUGGACCAUCUGCCACGAGAUGAGCCUGCGUUGGAUUAGCUAGUUGGUGAGGUAAAUGCUCACCAAGGCGACGAUCCAUAGCUGUUCUGAGAGGAUGAUCAGCCACACUGGGACUGAGACACGGCCCAGACUCCUACGGGAGGCAGCAGUGGGGAAUAUUGCACAAUGGGGGCAACCCUGAUGCAGCCAUGCCGCGUGUGUGAAGAAGGCCUUAGGGUUGUAAAGCACUUUCGCUGGUGAGGAAAGGUUAAUUGUUAAUAGCGAUUAACCGUGACGUUAACCAGAUAAGAAGCACCGGCUAACUCCGUGCCAGCAGCCGCGGUAAUACGGAGGGUGCGAGCGUUAAUCGGAAUUACUGGGCGUAAAGAGUACGUAGGCGGUUGUUUAAGUGAGAAGUGAAAGCCCUGGGCUCAACCUAGGAAGUGCUUUUCAAACUGAACGACUAGAGUACAAGAGAGGAGUGUGGAAUUUCCUGUGUAGCGGUGAAAUGCGUAGAUAUGGGAAGGAACAUCGGUGGCGAAGGCGGCACUCUGGACUGAUACUGACGCUG
RNAcentral lists this ribosomal RNA (656 nucleotides) under uncultured Gammaproteobacteria bacterium. Its description in RNAcentral is "bacterial SSU rRNA". It matches the Rfam family "Bacterial small subunit ribosomal RNA", at positions 96 to 748 of the family's 1533-position model. Lineage: Bacteria; Pseudomonadati; Pseudomonadota; Gammaproteobacteria. The record is from RNAcentral.